Molecule: ribosomal RNA, 446 nt
Filed under: uncultured bacterium
Lineage: Bacteria
Description: partial 16S ribosomal RNA
Rfam family: Bacterial small subunit ribosomal RNA
Source: RNAcentral
CCUACGGGGGGCUGCAGUCGAGAAUCAUUCACAAUGGGGGAAACCCUGAUGGUGCGACGCCGCGUGGGGGAAUGAAGGUCUUCGGAUUGUAAACCCCUGUCAUGUGGGAGCAAAUUAAAAAGAUAGUACCACAAGAGGAAGAGACGGCUAACUCUGUGCCAGCAGCCGCGGUAAUACAGAGGUCUCAAGCGUUGUUCGGAAGCACUGGGCGUAAAGCGUGUGUAGGCUGUUUCGUAAGUCGUGUGUGAAAGGCGCGGGCUCAACCCGCGGACGGCACAUGAUACUGCGAGACUAGAGUAAGGGAGGGGGAACCGGAAUUCUCGGUGUAGCAGUGAAAUGCGUAGAUAUCGAGAGGAACACUCGUGGCGAAGGCGGGUUCCUGGACAUUAACUGACGCUGAGGCACGAAGGCCAGGGGAGCGAAAGGGAUUAGAUACCCCUGUAGUC